CCCCCGGGCAGCGGCCCAGCCUCCAACCCAUUAUGGUGAUUGUCCGCCCGGGGACUCCCUCAGCGUGACUCGCCCGCUCGACCCUUGUCAAACAGAGACUACUUAGCGCGCUCACUUUCCACAUCAAGUUGGAAUGUCCUCCUGCUCUUGAUUCUCGUUCUCUCUGUGGAUCGCAGCUCUCCAGAACCGCUGAACCUCUCAACGCGUCUAUGGUCGGUAGGAUUCAGACGCAGCACACUUGGACCGAUGCCAGGGCUCGCUGGGCUGGAUGGAGGCUGGGUGGAGGCUGGAUGAAGGCUGGGCGGAGGCUGGAUGGAGGCGCUGUCCAUGGUCCUGCUCACUUUCUCAUCCUGCAUUAGAGAUAGACAUUGAAUGAAACACAGUGUUUUUUUGUUAUUUGCAUUUUUUUUCCAACUGCAAGGUGUUCUCAAGGUUCGAGGUGCACCGAUACAAUGGAUGAAGAACAGAAGUGGAUGUAGGGACGGUGAAGAGUUAUUUCCUUUACACCAUGUUCCAUUUGACAAGAACAAUCUACCAAAGCAACAUGCUUUGACAGUUGUGUUAUAAAAUAGUACCAUCAAAUUACACCUUCACAGUCAACCUCACCUGACAGGGUUAAGAACAACCACACAGAUCCAUGACCGCCGUCCUGGAGCACCUUAACCGAAGCUCUGUCCCUGCGGUCUGGUAAACGGUGGGCACAGUCUCAAACAGUAGCCCUCGGCAGCGCCUCAGUGUUGCGUCGUGUGCGUCGUGUGUAUUGUUUGUGCCGUGUGUGUUAUCUCCUCCAUACGACGGGAACUCUCUGGACGAAAGGCCGGAACACCUGAGCCCCGCUCUGGCUGAUUUAAUUAGCACUGAGCACGCUUGUCUCUGCUUGCAGGCGGCAUCGCUGGAGAGUUGCCUAAUUAACGACCGCUACGACCGCCUCAGAAGAACAGCCAGACAUCGGAGAUGAGCUGAACGUACGGAUUCUGCCCGGUCUUGUCGGUCUCGACUUUUUGGACAAAACUCUUUAUCCUUUACAAACAACAACAGCGAAGCGAACUCCUGUUUAUUUUCAACCGUGACCCAACCCUAAUCCCCCCCCCCCCCCACCCUUCGGACGCAGCGUUUACCCGCCCUGUCCUCGUGUUGACGUUGCGGCUUUGAGUCCUCACAGCACUGCCCCCCAUCCAUCCCUCCCUCCUCCACCCCUUCGAGAUGAGCGACGCCCACUACUGGGUGGUGGACUACGACCUGUCCUCCACCACCACCACGGCCCCCGGCCACGGCCCCUCCGGGGGGCCCUCGGGGGGGCCCUUGCCUCCCGUGGCGGUCCACUCUGAGCUGGGCACGGCCCUGUGCCUGGUGGGCCUGCUGCUGCUCCUGCUGCUCUUCCUGGUGGUCCGCUGCAUCCGCAUCCUGCUGGACCCCUACAGCAGCAUGCCCUCCUCCUCCUGGACCGACCACAAGGAGGGCCUGGACCGGGGCCAGUUCGACUACGCCCUGGUGUAGGGAGGUGGAGGAGGGUACUAGGCCCUGGUGUAGGGAGGUGGAGGAGGGUACUAGGCCCUGGUGUAGGAGAGGUGGAGGACAGUACUAGGCCCUGGUGUAGGGAGGUGGAGGACAGUACUAGGCCCUGGUGUAGGGAGGUGGAGGACGGUACUAGGCCCUGGUGUAGAGAGGUGGAGGACAGUACUAGGCCCUGGUGUAGGGAGGUGGAGGACAGUACUAGGCCCUGGUGUAGGGGAGGUGGAGCACAGGGCGCAGUUUGACUACACCCUGAUGUAGGAGGGGUGGAGGACAGGAGGACAGUGUACUGUCUCAAUAGUUUUCCUCCAAACCCUCCCAGCAUUACCAUUAUCAACCCAGGAACUAAAUGGAGCAACCUCAUAUCUUCCAUGCAUUCUUCAUAGUUGUGUCUGCAUCUCCUAGAAACUAGAAAUGAUCAACAAAUAGUUCAAAAGGAGCGUUGAUGUUAAUUGGGUUGACUUGAGGUCUUGUGUCGUGGUCUGUAAUCAGGUACCGCAUAGGCCAGAGGGAUGAGAGGAACAAAAAGGUAUCUGUGUCAACGCGUAAUGCUAUAAAGGUGGAGGACAUUGCCAUUAUACAUUUCUUCAAUGUUUAGACGAAACCCAGGUCAAACUGGUGUGGCUGGGUGCACAGCACGGAUCAAUUACAGUCAGACCUAAUGAGUUUACGAAGUAACAAAGAACUACAGUACUAAUAAUUAAGAUCGAGAGCCAAAUUCUCUCUCUUCCCACGGUUGUCAAGGGUCUUGUUGUUACCAGCAACAUUUUCUCAGGCAGGCCCGAACAUGCCAACAGCACCCCCCCCCAUAACCAAACAAGAUGUCAAAGGAAGUCAGGGAACGCUCUUCCUCAGGAAAAUAUGGAUCGAAGCCAAGGCAAGCAAGGUUCAAGGUUGUCGCUGGUUCUCAGGAAAACAAUCAACUAUGCUCCGUUUAGGGAAACAGAUUGUUGAGCUCUAUGGUGAAAGAAACACAUCCAAAUAAAAUAGUUCAAUAUUAUUAUUUGUGCUAAUCUCUGUAAAUCAGGUUUAAUUCAUGAAACCCAGUUGGAUACAUCACUGAUGUGUGGUGAUCUAUCUAUUUCAUGAUGCAAUCCCCUUUAGCAGCAGUUUCACUUUGAUAUUGUCUUAAUAUUUAUAAUGGAGUGCAUGAAGAUUGCCCUUCUUUGUAAGUAAUAUGUUUCCCGUCAGGUCCCAAACUAUAUACCAGCCAAAGCUGUCAAUAGUGCCUUUAAAUUAACAGCAGAAUAUAGUGCUGUUGCUUUGUGUUUAUUGUAUUGUUAAUUCGAUUACUCCAUUUGCCAACAUAUGUUUACGCAACGAAACAAGUUGUUGUGUGUUAUUUUUUUCCAUCAAACAAAUAUAUACUAUUGCACCUUAGUCAUUAGCUUGUGAAAUGGGUUAUACAUGUUUCUGUAAUCAAAGUCACCAAUUUACCUUUACUAUCCUUUUGUAUCUAAAUGAAUGCUUUUUCUGA
Gadus macrocephalus (Pacific cod) is the source of this 2989-nucleotide RNA transcript. It is a transcript of the gene named cortexin-1, with no coding region annotated. The record is from RefSeq and is a predicted model, not a curated record. The transcript has 3 exons. Lineage: Eukaryota; Metazoa; Chordata; Actinopteri; Gadiformes; Gadidae.